UACGAGAGCCCCGAGCGUUAUCCGGAAUUAUUGGGCGUAAAGGGUGCGUAGGCGGUUGUGUUAGUCGAGUGUUAAAGGCCCGGGCUUAACUUGGGAAAUGCAUUCGAAACGGCACGACUUAGAAUGAGGGAGAGGUGUGCGGAACUCAUGGUGUAGGGGUGAAAUCCGUUGAUAUCAUGGGGAACACCAAAUGCGAAAGCAGCACACUGGCCUUUUCCUGACACUGAAACACGAAAGCGUGGGUA
This 245-nucleotide ribosomal RNA is filed under the name uncultured bacterium. Its description in RNAcentral is "partial 16S ribosomal RNA". It matches the Rfam family "Bacterial small subunit ribosomal RNA", at positions 524 to 767 of the family's 1533-position model. The record is from RNAcentral.